Molecule: unclassified non-coding RNA, 259 nt
Filed under: Hevea brasiliensis (rubber tree)
Lineage: Eukaryota; Viridiplantae; Streptophyta; Magnoliopsida; Malpighiales; Euphorbiaceae
Source: RNAcentral
GAAAAAUCCUGGGCCAUUCGGACCAAGGAAUCAUAGACUGCAUUGUCUCCGUGAGGAUGAAAUUUACCAAGAACCUCUCCAACAACUCUCGCAGAUUUUUUAUACGGUUUCUUAGAAGAAAGCCCCAACUCAUGCAUUGCAUAUAGUAUUCGCCUGUGCACUGGCUUCAACCCGUCCCUAACAUCAGGCAAAGCGCGACCCAGCAGCACUGACAUUGCAUAAGACAUGUAUGCCUCAGUAGCCUCCUUGUGAAGCUCGG